Molecule: ribosomal RNA, 496 nt
Filed under: uncultured bacterium
Lineage: Bacteria
Description: partial 16S ribosomal RNA
Rfam family: Bacterial small subunit ribosomal RNA
Source: RNAcentral
AUGAACGCUGGCGGCGUGCCUAAUACAUGCCAGUCGAGCGGACAGACGAGGAGCUUGCUCCUCUGACGUUAGCGGCGGACGGGUGAGUAACACGUGGAUAACCUACCUAUAAGACUGGGAUAACUUCGGGAAACCGGAGCUAAUACCGGGUAAUAUAUUGAACCGCAUGGUUCAAUAGUGAAAGACGGUUUUGCUGUCACUUAUAGAUGGAUCCGCGCCGCAUUAGCUAGUUGGUAAGGUAACGGCUUACCAAGGCAACGAUGCGUAGCCGACCUGAGAGGGUGAUCGGCCACACUGGAACUGAGACACGGUCCAGACUCCUACGGGAGGCAGCAGUAGGGAAUCUUCCGCAAUGGGCGAAAGCCUGACGGAGCAACGCCGCGUGAGUGAUGAAGGUCUUCGGAUCGUAAAACUCUGUUAUUAGGGAAGAACAAAUGUGUAAGUAACUAUGCACGUCUUGACGGUACCUAAUCAGAAAGCCACGGCUAACUACGUG